This 19728-nucleotide long non-coding RNA is filed under the name Triticum aestivum (bread wheat). Its description in RNAcentral is "long non-coding RNA (TAES_LNC019543)". The stretch from base 11860 to 11974 matches the Rfam family "MIR1120/MIR1122 microRNA precursor family". The record is from RNAcentral. Lineage: Eukaryota; Viridiplantae; Streptophyta; Magnoliopsida; Poales; Poaceae.
UUUUUCUUUUUCGUCGGAUUUUUCUGCGAUUAUCUCAGAUUCGAUUCCUGAUCGAAUCUUCGUUUCUGUUUAACUUUUCGCUCGUUUAUCGGAAUCAGGCGAUUCAAGCGCCUAGAGUUUCGUCUCGAAAUUCUCUUUCCGUUUAACCUACUCAAACAAGUUUUUGCUACAGUAAAAUUUGACCUAGAUCCAGAUUAGUAAACAAAGUUUCUUUCUUUCGCAGUUUGACUUUCGUUAUUUCUUUCGAGUUGAUUCUUUUUGCAAACCGGAGUUCUUAAGUUGAACUUUCUGGUUGGAUCUUUCAUUCGAGUUUUACCUGUGCAUUAGAUGAGUACUGAUUGUAUGCUUGUUUGUUUGCGAUAGAGUACCCGGAGUGUGCCGCUUGUUACUUCGAAUCGCUAGGUUUUGCGGAUCAUCGGCAAGGCAAGUAACACUUUGAUCAUACCUUUCCAUACCCAGUUUUAUUGCAUUAGAUCUAUUCCUCAAACAUUGCAUGACUAGGAUCUAAUUAAAUUGUGGGUAUUGGGAAGUAGUUGAGGUAGCACCUAUUACCUGUAUUCUUAUCAAACCCUUGGGAGUUACUUCUACGUUGCUUUUAUUAUUGCCAUGCUAUGCUCGUAGACGUGGAUUGGGUUUGAGUGAAAUUCAUGACAGAUGUGAGAUUGUUAACAAUGGUUUACCUAAGGUGGCAACUAAAACUCACAUCUGGGUGGAUUGAGGUACCUGGGUAUUCCAGGAUUGCCUGUUUUUCUUUUGGACCGCCACCCAGGUUCCAAGGGAUCAUAAGAUUAUUCAUGCUAGAAACUUCCGUGUGCAGCCGCAAGCUAUUAUGGGCUCUAGCAUAGUUGAUUAAGUUGUGUGAACUCUUACAGUGGUAGACUAGCAGAUGUAGGGGAAAGUAGGUGUAACUGUCUACCCAUACGUAAAGUGCAAACACUUCUGAAAGACUGUGUCUUGGUCAUCCGUUACUCAAACACCAUGUAGUGCGAGUAAUCCAACGGAGGAGAUCAAGUCUUGUGGGGAAAAGUGCACAAACCUCUGCAGAGUGUACAAACUAAUCAUGGUUAGCCAUGUCCCCGGUUAUGGACAACUUGAGUAUCUAGUACUUGGAUUAUCAUGUGAAUCUCAUCACUAUGUUACUUCUAAUUAAUUUUGUUGGGUUAUUGAUGACAUUUAAUUGGGAUUGAGAUGCUGUCAACCAUCUCAAUGUUUCACAACCACCAUGAUAGUUAAAUAAAAUUUAUUCCUUUGAAGUAGGAUAAAAUUGGCUUUUCGCAAAAAUUGAAACCAUAGAGCUUUCCACCAGCCAUAUAUGCAUGUAGUAUAGCCUUAUUAUUGUUCAUUAUUCUCUAUGUGUUACAUUGCCAGCAUAUUCUAUGUGCUGACCCGUUUACGGGCUGCAACGUUUCAUGUUGCAGACUCUUCAGACGACGAGUAAGGUGCCUUAGGUCGUGGUCUUAUACUCAGUGAUGCCGCUGGAGUUGAUGGACUCACUUAUCUUCCAAGUCUUCCGCUGUUAUCGUUAUUAGAUGGCCUUAAGCCAUGUUUAUCAUACUUAAUAUCUUUGGAGAUAUUCGAUGUAAUAAGUGUGUGAUUGCUACUCUGUUAUAAAUCCUCCAUUUGUACUGUGCGUGUCAGCAUUACUGAUCCAGGGAUGACACUGGUGCACAGCAGCACAGACCAUUUGAGGUCUGGUCGCUACAAAGUUGGUAUCAGAGCACACGCUGACUGUAGGACACGACCACUAAGCUUAAGCCCUAGAAAGCUUCUCUCUUCUCAUUUCUGACCCCUAUCCACUUUCUACUCUUUUAGGAAUGGCGAAUGCAAGGAGCAAGUUCAUGCAACCAGAUGAAGACACGCCGUUUGGUCGACACUUGAAGGAAGUCACCAAGUACUUGAACAUAGGAAUACCAAGCAUCACCGGAACCUACAACGCCACAUUACCUGAAGAGGAGAGCUGGAAGAUUCAAGUUCACAUUCCAGGAAGGACGUUUGUGCCAGUUACUGAACCCAUAAGAUUGGUUUUCGAAGCACCAACCUGGAGUUUAGGGAAGAGCAUGGCCGCACACGUCGCCAUGAGACGCAUUGGAGAAGUCUACCACCAGGAGCUUAAGGAUACAAUUUACCAAAUUUGUGGACGCCGAGACGCGCAAUGGGAGAUGAUCAGAACCAAGAAGGAUGGAUCAAUUGCAGCUUUCAUCCAGGAGGAGAACCAACACAUUCGUCGCCAGGAGAACCAGAUGUGCACGGACAAGGAAGAACUGAAGAAGGCAUUGACGAAGAUCAAGGAGCUGGAGGAAGAACUCAAGGCUACACGCGAGGAUUAUUUGGAAGAAAUCAACGCACUAGUAGGGAAGAAUGACGACCUAGAGAAGAAGAUUGGAAUAUUCAUGGGAAAUCCAGUGCCAAAGGCAGAAGUCGACGAAUGCACUUGUCCGGAUAACUACAUCAUCAUCGACGACACUGACUCGGAACCAAGUGAAUAUGACUGGGUUGACGAAGCUGGAGCAGACAUCAUGGAGUCUUCAACGGAUCAGAAUUUCUAGUAGACCACCAUAUCAGUAGUAGUUUUCCCCCAUUUAAUAGUAUAGUUCAAGCACUUUGUAACGCUAGCUAGAUCGAUUGUUUUGCCUUGUUUGAAUUGAUUGAGUGAUAUUGAUUGAAUUUGUCUCAUGAGCAUAUGGGUAGUGUUUUCUCUCUAGACCUCAUUCUAUUCUUAACUCUCAUCUUUUCUAAACCUAUCAGAUGCCUCCGAGACGCGACACCGGAUUUGUUUUCCCGCCAGAGAUCACCCAGUUGAUUCAGCAACAGAAUGCCCUGAUGCAAGUGUUAGUGCAGAACCAAGGCAACAACAACAACAACAACCCACCGCCACCACCACCUGUUGAUCACUUAGCCCGUUUCUUAAGGCUAAACCCGUCGGUGUUUUCCAGUAGCACCGAGCCGAUUGUAGCAGAUGAUUGGCUCCGCAAAGUUGGAAGGGAGUUGACCACUGCAAGAUGCACAGAUGCGGAAAGAGUGCGUUUUGCCGCACAUCAGCUUGAUGGACCCGCAGCAUCAUGGUGGGAGAAUUAUACAGCCACGCACCCUAUUGACACUGUCACAUGGGACCAGUUUCAGCAAGCUUUCCGUACAGCACAUCUUUCAGCAGGAGCUAUGGCUAUGAAGAAGCGUGAGUUUCGCAGCCUACACCAAGGAGGACGCACCGUAGGCCAGUAUGUGGAGGAUUUCAGUAAGCUAGCACGUUAUGCACCAGAUGACGUUGCUACAGAUGCAGCCAAGCAGGAGAAAUUUUUGGAAGGGCUGAAUGAUGAACUGAGUAUGCAGUUGAUGGUAGCAACCUUCAACAACUACCAGGAGCUGGUAGAUAGAGCUCUCAUGAUUGAAGGGAAGCAACAGCAGAUUGAAAACCGUAAGAGGAAGUAUGGACAAGGGAAGUAUAACUCAGGAGCUCAGCAGAAGCCUCGAUUUACCCCGAAGCCGGGAGGACAGUUUCAGCAUACCCAUGGAGGAGGUAGUUCGCACAACCAUAAUGGCUCUAAAAAUGGUAAUGGGAAUGGAGGAAGCAACGGACAGAACCGCACCAACCCAUCUACCCCAGCCAAGAGGGACCUGAGCCAAGUCACUUGUUUCAAGUGCCAGAAGAAUGGACAUUAUGCCAAUGAAUGUCCUGAAGCCCAAAAUGGAAAUGGCAAUGGAAGCUCUGGGAAGAAGCCGAACCCGUUCAACAAAGGACACGUGAACCACGUGAGCGUGGAGGAGGUUGAAGCUCAGCCUGAUGCAGUAAUAGGUAAGUUCUUGGUUAAGUCAUUUACUGCAACCGUUCUUUUCGAUACUGGUGCAUCGCAUUCAUACAUAUCAAGGGGAUUUGUGAAUAAGUUUAAGAUGUCCACCAAAGUUCUCAGAAACCCUAUGUUAGUAACCUCGCCAGGAGCAGAGUAUAUGGCCACCCAAGGAUGUUUUCAGAUACCAUUGGCCAUUGGUAGGCAUGUUUUCCCCUCAGACCUCAUAGUUUUGGAGUCGCAAGGUUUGGAUGUGAUUUUGGGGAUGGAUUGGCUAUCGUUGUAUGGAGGAAACAUCGAUUGUGCCAGCAAGACGAUUUUGCUUACCACCCCGGAAGGGAAAAGGAUCAAGUAUGUAUCCCGACAUAUGCCGAAGAGGACUCAAGUAAAUUCCUUAUCAGGAGUUGUACAGGAGGAAGUACCAGUGGUGAAGGAUUAUCCGGAUGUAUUUCCAGAAGAGUUGCCAGGCAUGCCACCAGAUAGGGACAUUGAGUUUUUGAUUGAACUUUUGCCAGGCACAGGGCCAAUAUCUAAGAGACCGUACAGGAUGCCCGCAAAAGAUUUGGAGGAAAUUAAGAAGCAGAUCAAGGAGUUACUGGAUAAAGGCUAUAUUCGCCCAAGUUCGUCACCUUGGGGAUCACCAGUACUUCUAGUGGAGAAGAAAGAUGGAUCGCUGAGGAUGGUUGUUGAUUACCGUGGAUUGAAUGAAGUAACCAUCAAAAACAAGUACCCACUGCCGAUGAUCAAUGAUUUGUUUGACCGCCUACAAGGAGCUAAAGUAUUUUCCAAGAUCGAUCUACGAUCAGGAUAUCAUCAGUUAAAGAUUCGAGAGCAGGAUAUACCAAAGACGGCUUUUACCACCAGAUAUGGAUUGUAUGAGUAUACCGUUAUGUCAUUUGGUCUGACUAACGCACCUGCCUAUUUCGAGAGCCGGAAGGUUUUGUCGAUCCUAAGAAUGCUAACAAAGUAUGCAAGCUCCAGCGCUCAAUCUAUGGGCUGGUGCAAGCAUCUCGGAGUUGGAACAUUCGCUUUGAUGAGAUGAUCAAAGCGUUUGGGUUUACACAGACUUAUGGAGAAGCCUGUGUUUACAAGAAAGUGAGUGGGAGCUCUGUAGCAUUUCUCAUAUUAUAUGUGGAUGACAUAUUAUUGAUGGGAAAUGAUAUAGAAUUCUUGGAAAGAGUAAAGGCCUAAUUGAAUAAGUGUUUUUCAAUGAAGGACCUUGGAGAAGCUGCUUAUAUAUUAGGCAUCAAGAUCUAUAGAGUUAGAUCAAGACGCCUCAUUGGUCUUUCACAGAGUACAUACCUUGACAAAAUAUUGAAGAAGUUCAAUAUGGAUCAGUCCAAGAAGGGGUUCUUGCCUGUAUUGCAAGGUGUGCAGUUGAGCAUGGCUCAAUGUCCGACCACGGCAGAAGAUAGAGAAAAGAUGAGUGUCAUCCCCUAUGCCUCGGCCAUAGGGUCUAUUAUGUAUGCCAUGCUGUGUACCAGACCUGAUGUAAACCUUGCCGUAAGUUUGGUAGGAAGGUACCAAAGUAAUCCCGGCAUGGAACACUGGACAGCGGUCAAGAAUAUCCUGAAGUACCUGAAGAGGACUAAGGAUAUGUUUCUCGUUUAUGGAUGUGACGAAGAGCUCGUCGUAAAGGGUUACGUCGACGCUAGCUUCGACACAGAUCUGGAUGACUCGAAGUCACAAACCGGAUACGUGUAUAUUUUGAAUGGAGGAGCAGUAAGCUGGUGCAGUUGCAAGCAAAGCGUCGUGGCGGGAUCUACAUGUGAAGCGGAGUACAUGGCAGCCUCGGAGGCAGCACAGGAAGCAGUCUGGAUGAAGGAGUUCAUUACCGACCUAGGGGUGAUUCCCAAUGCGUCGGGCCCGAUGACUCUCUUCUGUGACAACACUGGAGCUAUUGCCCUUGCGAAGGAGCCCAGGUUUCACAGGAAGACCAGGCAUAUCAAGCGUCGCUUCAACUCCAUUCGUGAAAGUGUUCAAAAUGGAGACAUAGAUAUUUGUAAAGUACAUACGGACCUGAAUGUAGCAGAUCCGUUGACUAAACCUCUCCCUAGAGCAAAACAUGAUCAACACCAGGACGCAAUGGGUGUUCGAUUCAUCACAAUGUAACUAGAUUAUUGACUCUAGUGCAAGUGGGAGACUGUUGGAAAUAUGCCCUAGAGGCAAUAAUAAAUGGUUAUUAUUAUAUUUCUUUGUUCAUGAUAAUCGUCUAUUGAUCAUGCUAUAAUUGUAUUGUCCGGUAAUCAUAAUACAUGUGUGAAUGCAUAGACCACAACGUGUCCCUAGUAAGCCUCUAGUUGACUAGCUCGUUGAUCAAUAGAUAGUCAUGGUUCCUGACUAUGGACAUUGGAUGUCAUUGAUAACAGGAUCACAUCAUUAGGAGAAUGAUGUGAUGGACAAGACCCAAUCCUAAGCAUAGCAUAAAAGAUCGUGUAGUUUCGUUUGCUAGAGCUUUUCCAAUGUCAAGUAUCUUUUCCUUAGACCAUGAGAUCGUGCAACUCCCGGAUACCGUAGGAGUGCUUUGGGUGUGCCAAACGUCACAACGUAACUGGGUGACUAUAAAGGUGCACUACGGGUAUCUCCGAAAGUGUUUGUUGGGUUGGCAUGGAUCGAGACUGGGAUUUGUCACUCCGUGUGACGGAGAGGUAUCUCUGGGCCCACUCGGUAAUGCAUCAUCAUAAUGAGCUCAAUGUGACUAAGGGUUAGUCACGGGAUCAUGCAUUGCGGUACGAGUAAAGAGACUUGCCGGUAACGAGAUUGAACAAGGUAUUGGGAUACCGACGAUCGAAUCUCGGGCAAGUAACAUACCGAUUAACAAAGGGAAUUGCAUACGGGAUUGAUUGAAUCCUCGACACCGUGGUUCAUCCGAUGAGAUCAUCGUGGAACAUGUGGGAGCCAACAUGGGUAUCCAGAUCCCGCUGUUGGUUAUUGACCGGAGAGGCGUCUCGGUCAUGUCAGCUUGUCUCCCGAACCCGUAGGGUCUACACACUUAAGGUUCGGUGACGCUAGGGUUGUAGAGAUAUGUGUAUGCGGAAACCCGAAAGUUGUUCGGAGUCCCGGAUGAGAUCCCGGACGUCACGAGAGGUUCCGGAAUGGUCCGGAGGUGAAGAAUUAUAUAUAGGAAGUCAAGUUUCGGCCACCGGGAAAGUUUCGGGGGUUACCGGUAUUGUACCGGGACCACCGGAAGGGUCCCCGGGGUCCACCGGGUGGGGCCACCUAUCCCGGAGGGCCCCGUGGGCUGAAGUGGGAAGGGAACCAGCCCCUAGUGGGCUGGGCGCCCCCCAUGGGCCUCCCCCCAUGCGCCUAGGGUUGGGAACCCUAGGGUGGGGGGGCUUCCCACUUGCCUUGGGGGGCAAGGCACCCCCUUUCCCCCUUUGGCCGCCGCCCCCCCUUGAGAUCCCAUCUCCAGGGCCGGCGCCCCCCCAGGGGGCCUAUAUAAAGGGGGGGAGGGCAGCAACAAGACAGCCUUGGGCGCCUCCCUCCUCCCCUGCUACACCUCUCCGUCUCGCAGAAGCUCGGCGAAGCCCUGCCGAGACCCGCUACAUCCACCACCACGCCGUCGUGCUGCUGGAUCUCCAUCAACCUCUCCUUCCCCCUUGCUGGAUCAAGAGGAGACGUCGCUGCACCGUACGUGUGUUGAACACGGAGGUGCCGUCCGUUCGGCACUCGGUCAUCGGUGAUUUGGAUCACGGCGAGUACGACUCCGUCAUCCACGUUCAUUGGAACGCUUCCGCUCGCGAUCUACAAGGGUAUGUAGAUGCACUCCUUUCCCCUCGUUGCUAGCAUACUCCAUAGAUGCAUCUUGGUGAGCGUAGGAAAAUUUUAAAUUAUGCUACGAUUCCCAACAAUUUCAGCCCAACCGACGAUGGACUCGUCGGAGCCCGACAAUUUUUUACCAAGGUGCUCCAAUUCUGCUCAAAUCCCCUCCAAUUUUCGGCGACCAACCCCGAUUCCGACCGAUUUUGAUCAAUUCCUACGUAGGCUACCGAGCGGGGCAUGGGGCGAGCAGCCAAACGGGUCCGCAUGCGCGCGUGAACAGGGGAGAGGGGUGGGGCCGCGGGCGUGCGUGAACAGGGGAGAAGGGUGGAGCCGCCGACGCGCGUGAACAGAGGAGAGGGGUGGGGCCGCGGGCGCACGUGAACACGGGAGAGGGGUGGGUCGCCGGCGUGCGUGAACAGAGAAGAUGGGUGGGGCCGUGGGCGCGCAUGAACAAGGGAGAGGGGUGGGGCCGUGGGCGCGCAUGAACAAGGGAGAGGGGUGGGGCCGCGGUGCACGCUGGGGGUUAGCCGGCCGGGGCGCCCGCCCACGAGCCGCGCGCGAGAAGGAAAGCGGGUCGGGGUUGUGGGCAGGAGCUCGAAGGCGGCUGGCCGCGGUGCGGACAUCCACUAGAUCAAGAUCGGGUACAUGGUGACCUUCAAGUUGGUGACUCCCACGCCGUGAAGGUGAUCGUCUUCAACAACGACGGCAUUAAAGUGAUGACCAAGUUGCAGGAGGCACGACGACGCAUUCAUCGUGAACGUUUAUGAGAGCUCUAUAUUGCGCAUGCUGGUUUGGUUACGACUGUGUCAUAAUGGUUCGGUUGAAAACUACUUAAUUUAAGUGUCGUACUAUGUUUGAAAACUGUUUGAAUUGAUUUAAAACUAUGUUUAUAUGAUAUUUGUUUGUGUGUCAUUGGUUUGUUCCGCAUGCCUAGUGUAUUGAUAACCUCACCACCUUCACGAGGAAGUUACCAAACAACAUGCCCUGCAUGUAAUCAAACACCAUGACUUGUGUUUUCGCCUAAACAAGUGGGCAACCAAACAACCUACCUUUCGUUUCGUCCCACGCAGGCUAGAAGGUAUGCAGUCAACCAAACAAUAUACAGAUGUUAAUAUUUUUGCAUGUUUACUUUCAAUUGAGACAUAGAUGCAAUGCAAGCAAAAGUAGAUACGGCAAACAAACACACCCAUGGUGCCUAUCAUGUUUUCCAAAAAACGCACCUCCGAAGGUGGGAUUUUUUUUAACAGAAAUCCUCCGCUACAUUUUAUUUUAUUUUUCCCUGAAAAAAAAGAAGCGGAGGAUUUCUGCCACGAUACUAUCCGCACUGUGCGCGGAGCAUCUCUUCCCCGUAGGCACACACACGGCCGUCCCUGGACCCACCUGUCUUCCACGGACAUCGACUCACCCAUCUCCGAACCGCCCCCCCUCUGUCGCCACACCCCCGUCCCCACGCCCGCGGCGCAAAACCCCGCUAAAUUUUUCGCUCCGCCCGCCCCCAAGUCUCGCCACCGCCGCCAUCCUCCAAAUCGUCGGAGAAGAUAAUCCCCAGGACCCCCUUAGGGAUGUACGCCGACAUCCAGAAGGGUCGGCCGGGCUGCCGCCCCGUCGACGCCGCCUCCAUGGCGAAGCUCAUGAAGGUCUGGGCGAGGUACUUCCCCGAGGAAACCGAGCUCCAGGUCCCGGCGGACGACCCCAGGGCCAGGCUCGUCGGCGACCUGGUUAAGGUCCUGGAGCUGGAGGAGAGGGCCAAGCUCCUCCCACGUGUAAGCAUCUGUCUCCAUUCCCCGUAUAGCGCCUCAUUUUUGGCCCAUCUCUUAUGGUGACGCGAUUCUAGGGUUGCUUACUCGGUUCGGCCGCGACGAAAUUAUGGCGGUUGCUGCGCGACUGGUUGGUGCCUAGGGUUUAUCGGAUUGGCUGAUUGAUCGUUAGUUGAAAUUUUCUGGGAGUGGCAGCUGACAUUGUAACUGUAUAUAGUUAAAAUGCUUGCAGUCUCGUGCCUAAUGUCUGUUUGGUUCCAAUUAUUUAAGUUCCUGAGCUUGCCAUUGCUAGACAUUUAAUUGGGUACCAUUGUUAGUAAAAUGUGUGUUGGUUCCUUGCUGUUAGGGCAGAAUUUGGGUAAUAAUUUACUUAUCUGAUCGAAUCGACCUCGAAAUUUGGGGCAGAAUUUGUUUCUACAAUCUUCAAGAUCAAGGUCUCAAUGCGAUGGUGGCUCCUGGUAUAUGAAGUAGUGACAUAUCUAAUCAGAAAAGGGGAAUACUCUUCUUUAUUAGGAGGGAAAAGAAUCAAGAGGAGCUUGUAAUUUUGUGAAUAACUUUGAUACUUUUGUGCUCCACUUUGUCAGUAUCAUAAGAUUACUUAUACGUUUAUACCCCAAUGUGCUGCUGCGAUAACUACCUAAAGCACGACGCAAUGUUCCAAUUGAAAAAUGAAAUCAUGGCAUCAUGUAGUUGCACAAUAAAUUACUAAUCGGGUGGAAAUGAUUUAAACACAUCGCUUCAUAGUGUGCUUUUGUCAUUACAUGGAAAAAUAUUUCCGGUUCCAGCAAAUGAACGAAUUCAUGUUAUUAUAACUUAUGACUACAUUCACAGGUUGAAGAUGAUGGUGUUGUCUUCUUCCUUCCGAUUGAUUUCCAGCAGCUUAAGAACUUGUGCGGUGGUACCAACCUCUUAGAUGCUCUCAGGGAAAAUCCUAAAGAAGCCUUGCUUUGCAUGGGAGUUGCAGUUCAUCUGGUUGAUGCUUCAUUUCAUGCUAAAAUUAUUAGUGUUGUCAGUUGUGCUUUGUUUUUUCACUCGCUGGACUUUGAUUCUUGAUGUUUUCUUCAGGUUAAGUGCUCGGGCAAUGGCCUCCAGUUGAGCGACGUAGACAAGGUCAAUAUCAGGCUUUACAACCACACCGAGACAAUAAUUGCUUUGAAGAAUUUGAAAGCGGCCUAUAUUAGUAAGAACUUCUGUCUUUAUCCGUGUGUUCUGCAUCUAAAUGAAGUACUGACUUGUUGAUUCACCUCAUAGAGAAACUAGUGACAGUGCGUGGUACUGUUGUAAAAGUCAGUACUGUGAAACCUCUAGUUCUGGCGCUGGAGUUCAAAUGCAUGAAGUGUGCUACAGUCAUCCGUCGUGUGUUCUCUGACGGGAAAUUUUCACCUCCAGUAUCCUGCAUAAUUCAGGGCUGCAAGGGCAGAACCUUCACCCCAUUGAGAUCUACUGCCAAGUUGAUAGAUUUUCAGAAAAUAAGGCAAGUGAUAAAUAGAUAAUCUGUGUCAUUCUCUGCUUAUAACACUAAGCUCUGUUUUUAUUAUUUUCAAUCCAGGAUACAGGAGCUUUCUAGUGCUGAAAACCGUGAAGAAGGCCGAGUGCCACGAACUAUAGAAUGUGAGCUUAUAGAAGAUCUUGUAGAUUGUUGCAUCCCUGGAGAGGUUGUAACGGUAGCUGGAAUCGUCAAAGUGCUGAACAACCAUAUGGAUGUUGGAGGAGGUACAAUUUUGAAGAAACUAGUAUCUUAUUUCUCGUUGUUCAUUUCUGAACCUUCCUGGAUACUAUAUUUUACAUUGUUUCAAAGCCUGAAUCCUCUUUGCAAAAAAAAUAAAAAUGCUAAUGUUCAGGUGUCCCAAAUUUCCUGCAACACCUGUAGAGCACAUAUGUUUUCAGUCUUUUGUUAAGGUUGUUCAGUAGUUUGGGUUGGUUGUCUAGUUCUGGUGCAUUAUGGACUACUAGGUGUAACCGUAUCAGGUAGUUCACAAGAACAAUUAUCAAGUUCCAUGUUACUCUUAGGGAAAACCUAUCUCCUGCUACGUUUGUUAUCCCUAAAACCUCUCCUCAUUUUAUCUUUACCUUAACCAAAACAUUCACUCUUUUUUAGACAUUGUUGCUUUCUAUGAUUUCCUUUAAUAUAAGACUCAAGAAUUGUUUGUAGAACAAUGAUGAUAGCCAAAAGGUUACUAUGUGUGGCGUCCAUGUCCUUGCCACAUGCAAUAGUCGUGAUGAUUUCUCUGUCAUGCACGGUAUCCCAUACAAAAGGCCAUGCACGCCACACAAAGCAGGAAAGUGUCGGAUCAACAGACCAUGUCAGCAAUGAGACGUGUCCAGGAGGGAUAUGUCGGGACAGACUCGGUGCUCCUGGAGGCAGCAUCCACUGCCACUGUCUUGCCGCAGCCAAAAGUUGUGGGUGAGGGGAGGACAAGUUCAAUCCCCAUGCCUCCUCAGUGCCAUCAAGGGUUAGACUGUUAGAGCAGAUUAUAGGUGGUAGGUGCAACAUAUCGGCUGGAUGGGAGAUACAAAGAGUGAGAGAUAGAGGUGAAUUGCGUCUUCAUUGAUUUAAUAUAUUACUCCCUCCGUUCCAAAUUACUCGUCGCAGAAAUGGAUGUAUCUAGAACUAAAAUACAUCUAGAUACAUCCAUACAUGCGACAAGUAAUUCGGAACGGAGGGAGUACAUUACAGUUCCUUUAUGUAGUCUCUACUGGCGUAUCUGUGUAUGACCUUAUACCUAAUAAUCCUAAGUUCCUAACUGACCACAACUCAUAUUUGAAUCUAGUUGCACUGUCCUGGACUGGUCUCGAGAUCAAUGAUACCAAUGGCAUUGAUCCGGGUGGACUAAUUGAAUGCACUGGAGCCCGAGUCAUAGACAGCCAGUAAUAGGUUUGGGUAGUUGCGGGAGCUGCAGCGUUGGCACAACUGGCCUGUAUUCUAGGCCCAGCUGAAUUGGGUUCAGCUGCUGCCCGUCUGGUGGUUAUACACCCCACAACUGAUCCCAUGAUCAUAUCCUGAUCUCUUGUGUAGUUCUUUCUGGUUCUACCAUGCAAACACAAUCAGUGAAGUUCAUAUUAGUCUGAUGCCGGUGCAUUCUUUUUCCAAAACAUUCUUGUUUGUACUAUGUAGAUGCAUAUUUUCUUAAAUUGUCCUGUGGAUAUAUACAUAUAUUUUUAAUAUCUUCAGGUAAGUCCAAAAGCAGAAAUCAGGGUUUAUACUACUUGUACUUGGAAGCAAUCUCAGUAAGGAACUCCAAGGCCCAUGUUGUUUCAGAAAAUUCAGAUGCAAGUUCUACUGAUAUUCUGGCUACUGGAUCCUUCAGUUUCGAAACUUUUACUGAUAAGGAUCUUAAAUUCAUCACCGAAUAUAAUAGCGAGCAUGGUGCUGAUGUAUUUCGUCAAAUACUUCACUCCUUUUGCCCCUCCAUCUAUGGGCAUGAACUUGUAAAGGGUAAUUUUCUAUUCUAGUACACUGUUUUAAAUCCUAAUGUGGUAUUUUCUUGCAGUAAUUUAAUUAGAAGGUAUUUGCGCUGGCUAUUUAAUGUGAUUAAAUAUUUACAUUUUGUCUGCUCAGUGUUGUCCAAACAUUUGGAAAUAAAUCAAUCUGUUGUGCUCUCUUUAGUUUCUGUAUAUAAGAAAUGAUAACUAUUAUUUUAGCUUCAUUACUUGUGGACAUGUGCAGCGUUUUCAGUAACGAUUAUUUGAUUAUUCAUUAUUUCACGGUAAGUACUCUUGUGCCGUCUCCAAAAAAACCAAUUCAGCUGUGAGGAAUUGAUCAAGCUAUUAGUGCAGAGUUCAGUAAGGGGAUAUGUUCUCUUUCUUUUCAAGAGCCAGCGUUCUAAAGAAUGAAGGAAAGAAAAGAGUGCAAACUGUAUUUUUGAACGUAAAAAUAUUAAAUUAUCAAAAGUUCGACGAGUAGAAUAAAGACAUGCCUUAUUUUCUAAGAGAGCAAACAUCAAGAAUGAAUGUUUGUCCAUCUCCAGUUCUUCUUAUGAUCAAUACCUGCAUCUUCAUUAGUACAUGACGACCUAGCUACCGCUUGCUGACUUAAAUCUUGGUGGGAAGGCGGUGCCUAAUGCUUAGGCAGCCGUCUAGUCCAAUUUUAGAACACUGUCGAUAGUGCAGAGUUCUCAUUUCAGCGCAGUAGCAUUUGCUUGGAUGCCGCUUCUUCUGAUUCGUUUUGUUUCUUUGUUGCAUUAUAUUACUGGACAUGACUAAAUUAAUGUUUCUAAAUUUCAGCUGGUAUCACUCUUGCGCUUUUUGGUGCUGUGCAGAAGCAUUCAAUGGAUCAGAACAAAGUCCCAAUUAGAGGAGACAUCCAUGUUAUUAUUGUUGGUAAUCCUUAUAAUUUACCAAUCAUGAUCCAUGUAGUACAUGCUUAGCACUUCCCAGGAUGCAAUCAUACUCUUGCUUAAUGUUGUCGCAGGCGAUCCAGGACUAGGCAAGAGCCAAUUACUAAAAGCUGCAGCAUCUGUUUCCCCACGGGGAAUAUAUGUAUGCGGGAAUACAACCACAAAUGCUGGUCUAACAGUUGCUGUGGUUAAAGAUUCAAUGACAAAUGAUUAUGCAUUUGAGGCUGGUAAGCAUGGAAGAUUUAUUUGUUCCUCACACAUUCUGUGGAGAACCUUGUCAGAAAGUCAGCUAAUUCGAUCAUUUGUUGUCAUAUAAUUGGUUGUUCUACUGUUUUGUGGCCGAUGUGGUUUGAAGUCUUAGAAUUUGUGAUUGGAUCAAAAUAAUGUUAAGCUCUUGGCUUUACAGGGGCCAUGGUUCUUGCUGACCGUGGGCUAUGUUGCAUUGAUGAGUUUGACAAAAUGUCAGCAGAGUAUCAGGUAUUAUUUUUAGUUUUCACCUGAUACAACCUUCUUGGUGAAAUGUUCAUUCAGUAAAAGAUGUUCUAUACUUUCCUUGUUUGAAAUUGAAUUUGUGUUCUCAGUCCUUACUGGAAGCCAUGGAGCAGCAGUGUGUAUCUGUGGCAAAGGCUGGCCUUGUGGCGAGUUUAUCUGCCCGCACUUCUGUGCUGGCAGCUGCUAAUCCUGUUGGUGGUCAUUACGAGUGGGUUAAUCUUUUCCAUCCUUUGAUAAAAUUUUCUACCCCUGCUUAUCGUAUGAUGUUUGUCAUUCUGGAUAUGUUGUCUUCAUUCAUCUUUCCUUCUUCAAUUGAUACUCAUUACCUGUACUGUUAUCUCUGUGCGUAUGCGCGCGAUGUGCAAUUACUACAGUGUGAUUGUUUUUGUCAACGUAAUGUUCUUUUUGCACUCACACAACCACACAAGUCACCGUGCCUGGAACAGGCAGACCUGUAAGCAAAUACCAUUUCCUUGUGUAUUCUGGUGUUGUUCCUUAUUUUUGCUUGUCAGUGAGAUGUAGGUAACAGAUCUUAAAUUCCUGGGUUGUUUUCAACUUUUAGUAAUACUAUUUUUGCAGCCGAGGCAAAACAGUGAAUGAGAAUUUAAAGAUGAAUGCUGCCCUGCUCUCUCGGUUUGACCUGGUUUUCAUUUUACUUGACCAGCCAGACUUGUUUCUAGAUAAGAGAGUAUCAGACCACAUAAUGGCAGUAAGUUUUUGUUAUCCAUUUUUUGUCCACAUCUUAAGCAUAUAGUACCGAUGAGCAAUAUCACCACAUAUAAUAAAUGUGUCAGGGCUUUAAUCUAAUUAAAAAAACUAAGGAAAAAACAACAUUUUCUACACGCAGCUCCAUACCAAUGACAGAAGUCCUUGCUCAUCCAACAAGAGGCUAAGAACAGGUCAUUCUUUGGUUAUUCCAUAGCAUUUUUAGUUCCUUUUUACAUGUGAAACCGUAUACAUCGUUAUUGAUUUGCAACUUUGCCCCAUGCCCAGUGCCUCAAUUUAAUGGCAGUAUGGGGAUUGGAAUUGAUGAGAAAAAAUUAGCUUCAAGGCUGAGACUACACCCUGAGAAAGAUAGGGACUUUGUUCCGUUACCUGAACCACUUCUUCGCAAGUAUAUAUCUUACGCGAGAAGCUAUGUUACCCCCCGGUAUUUUGUCAGCUCCUUUUCACUUAUCAAUACCAUAUAUGUAAUGCAAUGAGUUCUCAUUUUGUUAUUUUUCUUCUCUCGGCUCAAGUGUGUCAGAACCAGCAGCGGUGGUACUGCGAAAAUAUUACUUGAAUUUGAGAGCGCAUAGUACUUGUUCUGAUGGCACACCCAUCACAGCGAGACAAUUGGAAAGCCUUGUGAGGUUAGCAGAAGCUCGCGCUCGGGUGGAUCUAAGAGAAGAAGUGACUGAACAAGAUGCGAAUGUAAAUAAGUAGAAUACUUACCCCCCGGUUCCCUCCUCCCCAUUUUGUACAUAUGCGCACCUUGCACCCUUGCACUGCCAGCUUGGAUUUCUUCAUACUUCAUACCUAAAUUACCAGCAGAGAAUUUUUCUGUUGGUUUAGGUUCUUGUCCAUGAUUGCUGGGAAAAUCUGAGUUCUUUCUCAUGCUAGUUUUCAUCCUCAGCAAAUUACUGAAUCAAACUCAGAAGCAUGAUGAAUUAUGUUUUUUAAUCUCCAUAUCAUGUCGAUGUUGCAGAUUUAUUUUUUCUGUCUGUUUGCUGCUUUAUAAAUCUGAAAAUGUGAACGUACGGUGCUUAUCGCAUGCCUAAGGCUUAUGCAAAGUGUUGUCUGGCAAAUAGACAGCCGGAUAGUUAGAUGACAUCAAGAGGCACACCUAUUUAAUAAAAAAUGGGCAUGCAAUCUCAUUCUGCGUUUUAUUAUGUUGCAGGAUGUUGUUGAGAUCAUGAAUGAAUCCUUAUAUGACAAAUAUGUUGAUGAGCAUGGUUGUGUGGACUAUGCUCGGAGUGGUGGGAUGAGCCAACAAAAGGAGGCAAAAAGACUUAUGAGUGCCUUAAACAAGCAAUCUGAGUUGCAGCAAAAGGAUCAGUUUUCAAGAGCCGUAAGCAAUUAUGCAUCUAAAAUAUUUUUGAUGAAAGGCUGGUCUGUUAUUGCAUAUACGCAAACCAACUGACAUGGAAAGAGUGCCAAUUUUAGUUCAGUUACAAUUCUGGUCCUGCUAUGAUCGACGAAAUUUUGACAUACUUGCUUUUUGUGCAUUUUGAUUCUUUUGUUACGCGGUUUCUCCAGUCAAUAGGAGCAUCUUCUUGAGGUUCCUCUGAUGUUCUGUAAUUUUCCCUUUGUAGGAGAUACGGAGCUUAGCAGAUAAAAUCAGCUUGCAAGUCCCGGAUUUAGAUGAUAUUAUGGAAAGAUUGAACAGUGCCGGUUUUAUUGUACAUAAAGGACAAAACAUAUACCAGGUAUUGUCUCAUAAAACUGCUUGACAUCAAGAAGUUUUGAUGUAUACAUUAGAUGGUUAUCCUGGUGUCGUGCUGAUUAUUGAUUAUGAGUUUAUGACUGUCAGGCUCGUGAUGAGCCCUCCACUGAGAAUCUAACUUAUUAUUGUCUGUGAAACAGAUAUUGACCUCAUCAUGUUCACGGACCCAGCCAACAAGGUCAAGAUGGUGAGUUCUCUUACACCCUACAUGAAAACAUGGGAGUUUGGUGUUGGUAUUAUGCUAAAUUUUAUAUCUGUGCCACACGUUAACGUCUGGUUGAUUAACAGUUACUUUGGGUCAGUGUCCAACACUUGCCAUUGUUGUGACAAGAUAACUGUUCAAAGGUUUCCUCUUUGCUGCCGAUUCAUGAUCGUUUUUUUUCUGGCAGAUGUAGGGGGGAUAUGUUCUGCAACUAGUAUGGACCGUUAUGUACAGUAUAGUCAUGUGAUGGCCUCUAAUUAAAAUGUGCGGAUAGCUCUGUUAAUGCUGUUUAUCGUAGCAGCUGUAGCUGAUAAUGACAAAAUUAGUAUCCUUACUAGUUCCAGCAUGUUAAAGAAACAUCCUGUUUUCGUUAAAGAAUCGUCUAUGUCCUGGACAUUGGUGAUCAUGAAUGCUGAUUCUUUAUGUGAAAGAAACAUAGUGUGUUUUUUUGCGGGGAAGAAACUUAAUGCUUCUAUGAGACUUGGAAUGGAAAUAACCCCUUAGGCCUGAGAAAUAGCAAACCCGCUUUGCUUACGGUUAUGUUUUUAUUUGGACGAACGCAGCAAUGCUGCUUCAUUUUAUAUUAAGAGAAAGAGUUACAACAAGUAAUUGGGCGGUGAUGAAGGUGACCACCAAGGUAGACAAAUGGAGGGCACAGAUAACAAGUUUCAUAGAAUCAUAGUACCAUCAAGGAGGCCUCCAUGUUAGCCUCCUUGGUGGUGUCACCACUCUUCUACAUUUUGCUCUACGGGAAUGUGGAACGCUGGUGUUUUAUCCUACGUCUGUGCUCUACGCUUACCAGUCGAAUUGUUUUGUGUGCUAUCCAUUUUUACAGAGAAAGCAGCCUUUAGAUUGCUCAAUCAAUAGGUCUUUUUCAAGCAUAGGCAAAAGGUAAUUUUAGGGGUCAUGGAGCCAUAUAUAUCUAUAAAUGAUAAUGAUGUUGUGCCCGCCCUGUUAGAUUCUCUCGGGUAGUGAACAAAGGUUGCUUUUCACAAACUCAGUCGCCUAGACUCAACGAUCAGUCUUGCUAUCAUAGUUGAAGCCUACCCGGUUACACCCCAUUUGCAGCGCCAUGGCUGACCUCAACAUCCUUUUUUUUUCUUGAGGUGAUUGCCUCACAUCUUGGGCAUGAACCAUGAGAGGUUCACCUGGGGUCGAUCGAUCUCGCUCACGCCGUUUGCUACCAGGUUUCUUCGCAACAGCUGUUUUGAAGUUGGCAGCCAGGACCAUGAGCAACGUAAACACGCAAUUGGAUCGAUGGGAGCUUGGAACUUCUCCCCAUUAAUGUGCCGCCAGCGUCUUCCACCGUUUUAUGAAAUGUACUACCCGCUGCUCCUAAAUACAGUACAAGUCUUUUUAAUGAUUUUAAUAUGAACUACAUAUGGAGCAAAAUAAGUGAAUCUACACUCUAAAAUAUGUCUAUAUACAUCUGUAUGUAAUCCUUAUUGAAAUUGAAAUCUCUAAAAAGACAUAUUUUUUUAAGGACGGAGGGAGUACUACGGAGUGUGUAAGUAGUUCCAGUGAUACUUUUCCUGCCCUAUCUGCCGCCAAUGCUUCACUUGUUCCGUGUUGGAAUGGGGCAUAUCUUUCGUUGCCCAUUAGUAUAGACGCCAAUGAGCAAUCAAACUAGUUUCCUCAUCGUAUCCUCUUGGGUUGUGCAGAGUUUGCAGUGAAAAACAUAAUCAGCUGUUAUUUGCAUAACUCUUCCAGUGUGAAUUACUACUACAAUCAGCAAAACUGCAUCCAUGUCAUUAUGGAUUUUGCACACAAAAAAACAUGAUACAGAAGCAUUGCAGAGGGCAGAUAAAACUUGCUAUCCAAAUCAUGGAAACAAAACUCAAUAGCGACAGACAGUCAACAGCAUCUCGCUAGUACAACUUCAGGUUACGUAUAUAGGAAUGAAAAUGCUAAAUGGUGGACGAGCUCCAUGGAGCUCGUUUUUUUGAAAAAAAAAACCCCGGAAAUUAUAGCUCCCAAGUUUCAAAAAAUCCUAAAAAGAUCACACGCGUUCAUACAGAUGUAAAUUUUAAAGAUGAUACUAUAAAUUAAUGGCGAGAGCUUCACUAGUUAGAGAAAAUCGUGAUUCUGAAAAUGGUGAACAUGUUUUGUGUAGCUCUUCAUCGUUAGAACGUGUAGAUUUUUCUCAGAAUAUUUUUAUUCAAAAUGUGUUUUUUGCUUCUUUUUGCUCAGGACAUUAAUAAUAUCCAAUCUAACCCAAAUAUCCAAUCCAAUUCACAGGUCGAUUGGUAUGGAUUUUUUUUCAGUACUACAGUACUGCAAAACUAUCUCAUCAUGCAAAAAAGAUUUUUUAAACAAACAUCAACAACAUAACACAGACAAUCAUAGCACAUGAGAUAAAACCCACUAGCCAGCAGAGUAACACAGCAACAAUAUAUAUCCAGAUCAUGGAAACAAUACUCUUAAUAGCAACUGUUAAGAGAAAGCAACAGCAGAGAAGGAACAAAUCUCGCUAGUACAACUUCAGGUUAUAUAGGACAUUGUAAACAUAGCAGGCAACUUUCCUCCUCAAACGACCAGAGCCUUACAGUCCAUUCCAUCCUUGCCUAACAAAAAUGCAACCUAAGACCUGGGCUUCUCCUUCUUCUCCUUGAAGAGAGCGAGAAGCGACACACCAGAUACCUUGACAACCUUGAACCUGACACCGGGAAUAUCUCCCACGGCAUGACCCUUACGACCGAAUCCAGCAAUCAGCACCUCGUCCUGAAGCAUCCAUCAAGUCAAGAGGUUAGGUUGGUUGCAUAUAGCAGACAUAUCACAUAUAUGCGAGCAAUGGAGGUUAGGUUGGCUGCAUAUAGCAGACAUAUCGCAUAUAUCUGAGAAAUGGGUGAGGGGCACAUACGUUCUCCUCGAUGAAGUUCAGGCAACCAUCAUUGGGCACAAAGGCAGCGAUCUUCUUCCCGUUCUUCACCAGCUGGACACGAGCACACUUACGGAUGGCAGAGUUAGGCUG